Long non-coding RNA from Drosophila busckii, 383 nucleotides. RefSeq lists it as uncharacterized. NCBI's taxonomy places the organism in Eukaryota, Metazoa, Arthropoda, Insecta, Diptera, Drosophilidae. The record is from RefSeq and is a predicted model, not a curated record. The transcript is spliced from 3 exons.
GUUUGAAUACACAACACAAGCAGUAAACAGUAAACAACAAACAUCUACUCUAAAACUCACAUGGCAAUUUUUAGCUAUUUAUUGUUUUAUUGCCUUAUUUGUCCCUCAGUCCUUAAGCAGCAACAUUACAACUUCAUGCACUCUGUUAACAGUGUGUGGGGGCCUAAUUUUAUAGUUUAGCUAUAAGCACAAAGUUUUUAUUGUUCAACUAGCUUUAAGCGUAAAGUGUUAAAUUAAAGUUUAAACAACAAAUCCCCAGCCUAAUUUAAUACGCGUGCUGUGGCAGUUGCCUGACGCAUAAUUAAGGCGCAAACCCCCUUUUUGGGCAGACAGCCAACAAACUCGCACAGUUUGCAGUCUCGCGGGAUCAACUGCAGUUGUCC